Molecule: ribosomal RNA, 403 nt
Filed under: Fusobacteriota bacterium
Lineage: Bacteria; Fusobacteriati; Fusobacteriota
Description: Fusobacteria bacterium partial 16S ribosomal RNA
Rfam family: Bacterial small subunit ribosomal RNA
Source: RNAcentral
UGGGGAAUCUUGCACAAUGGGGGAAACCCUGAUGCAGCGACGCCGCGUGAGCGAUGAAGGUUUUCGAAUCGUAAAGCUCUGUCCUAUGGGAAGAUAAUGACGGUACCAUGGGAGGAAGCCCCGGCUAACUACGUGCCAGCAGCCGCGGUAAUACGUAGGGGGCGAGCGUUGUCCGGAAUUACUGGGCGUAAAGGGUUCGCAGGCGGCAUGGCAAGUCCGAUGUAAAAGGCGAAGGCUCAACCUUCGUAAGCAUCGGAAACUGUCAAGCUUGAGUGAAGGAGAGGCAAGUGGAAUUCCUAGUGUAGCGGUAGAAUGCGUAGAUAUUAGGAGGAAUACCGGUGGCGAAGGCGACUUGCUGGACUUCAACUGACGCUGAGGAACGAAAGCGUGGGUAGCAAACAGG